This 467-nucleotide ribosomal RNA is filed under the name uncultured bacterium. RNAcentral's name for it is "partial 16S ribosomal RNA". It matches the Rfam family "Bacterial small subunit ribosomal RNA", at positions 28 to 507 of the family's 1533-position model. The record is from RNAcentral.
GAUGAACGCUGGCGGCGUGCUUAACACAUGCAAGUCGAACGGAAAGGCGCCUUCUUGCAGGGGUAGUCGAGUGGCGAACGGGUGAGUAACACGAGGGGGAUGUGCCCUGCACUUCUGGACAGGCUUGGGAAACUGGGGCUAAUAUCGGACAGGACCACAUGUUGGUGGGGGUUGUUGAAAGUUGGUCGGUGUGGGAUCAGCUUGCGGCCGAUCAGAUUGUUGGUGGGGUAGUGGCCUAGCAGGCCGUCGACGGGUAGCGGGCCUGAGAGGGUGGAUGGGCACCUGGGGAGUGUGAUACGGGCCGCACUAGUGCGGGAGACAGCAGUGUGGGCGAUAGCCCAAUGCGGCGACGCCUCGUGAGGGAAGGAGGCGUGCGGGAUGACAGCCUUUGGCUUGAAUGAACCAUUCGCUCCGGACGAGGCGUUUUUGUGACGGUAGCUGGAGAAGAAGCACCGGCUAACUACGUG